GGGUCUGUAUGGUAUCAGCUUGUUGGUGAGGUAAUGGCUCACCAAGGCUAUGACGCCUAACUGGUUUGAGAGGAUGAUCAGUCACACUGGAACUGAGACACGGUCCAGACUCCUACGGGAGGCAGCAGUGGGGAAUAUUGCACAAUGGACGAAAGUCUGAUGCAGCAACGCCGCGUGGAGGAUGACACAUUUCGGUGCGUAAACUCCUUUUAUAUAGGAAGAUAAUGACGGUACUAUAUGAAUAAGCACCGGCUAACUCCGUG
This 263-nucleotide ribosomal RNA is filed under the name uncultured bacterium. RNAcentral's name for it is "partial 16S ribosomal RNA". It matches the Rfam family "Bacterial small subunit ribosomal RNA", at positions 227 to 507 of the family's 1533-position model. The record is from RNAcentral.